GAACGCUGGCGGCAUGCUUUACACAUGCAAGUCGAACGGCAGCACAGGGAGCUUGCUCCCGGGUGGCGGGUGGCGCACGGGUGAGUAAUACAUCGGAACGUGUCCUGUUGUGGGGGGAUAACUGCUCGAAAGGGUGGCUAAUACCGCAUGAGACCUGAGGGUGAAAGCGGGGGAUCGCAAGACCUCGCGCAAUUGGAGCGGCCGAUGCCCGAUUAGCUAGUUGGUGGGGUAAAGGCUCACCAAGGCGACGAUCGGUAGCUGGUCUGAGAGGACGACCAGCCACACUGGGACUGAGACACGGCCCAGACUCCUACGGGAGGCAGCAGUGGGGAAUUUUGGACAAUGGGGGCAACCCUGAUCCAGCCAUGCCGCGUGCAGGAUGAGGGCCUUCGGGUUGUAAACUGCUUUUGUCAGGGACGAAAAGGACCGUGUUAAUACCAUGGUCUGCUGACGGUACCUGAAGAAUAAGCACCGGCUAACUACGUG
RNAcentral lists this ribosomal RNA (486 nucleotides) under uncultured bacterium. RNAcentral describes it as "bacterial SSU rRNA". It matches the Rfam family "Bacterial small subunit ribosomal RNA", at positions 31 to 507 of the family's 1533-position model. The record is from RNAcentral.